AACGAACGCUGGCGGCACGUUUUAAGCAUGCAAGUCGAAUGGCAGUGGGGGCAACCCCAUGGGAAUGGCGAACGGGUGAGUAACACGUAGGUGAUCUGCCUGACGGAUGGGGAUAGCUUGUGGAAACACAGGGUAAUACCGAAUGAGCUGACGAGACUUUGGUUUUGUUAGUAAAGGUGCUACGGCACCGCCGACAGAGGAGCCUGCGGCUGAUUAGCUAGUUGGUGGGGUAAAGGCCUACCAAGGCGACGAUCAGUAGCCGGCCUGAGAGGGUGUACGGCCACACUGGAACUGAGACACGGUCCAGACUCCUACGGGAGGCAGCAGCUAAGAAUCUUCCGCAAUGGGCGAAAGCCCGACGGAGCGAUGCCGCGUGAUCGAUGAAGGUCGAGAGAUUGUAAAGAUCUUUUCUACAUGAGGAAUAAGUCUGGGAGGGAAUGCCUGGAUGAUGACGUUAGUGUAGGAAUAAGCCCCGGCUAAUUACGUGCCAGCCGCCGCAGUAA
RNAcentral lists this ribosomal RNA (503 nucleotides) under uncultured bacterium. RNAcentral describes it as "partial 16S ribosomal RNA". It matches the Rfam family "Bacterial small subunit ribosomal RNA", at positions 29 to 523 of the family's 1533-position model. The record is from RNAcentral.